Candoia aspera is the source of this 351-nucleotide long non-coding RNA. RefSeq lists it as uncharacterized. The record is from RefSeq and is a predicted model, not a curated record. The transcript has 2 exons. Lineage: Eukaryota; Metazoa; Chordata; Lepidosauria; Squamata; Candoiidae.
UACAAUUAAAAAAGAAUAGAAAUAUUCAAUUCCAUCAAUUUUAAUUAACAUUUUUUCUUACUGAAUGGUCUGUUAUAUAUGUCAGGAGCAGGACAGUGCAUGAAGACAACUGAUACUGCUUAGUGUAAAAACCAAAUAUAAGAAUGCAGAUACCAAAAAUCAACAUGGAUAAUAUGGAAGACAAAUGCUUAACAAGUAUAUUCCAUAGGAGCAAGAGAAGAUUGGAGAAGAGGGGAGGUGUCCCAAUCCUUUGGAAAUUCUCAUUUACCUUUGUUGGUGUUCUUAUUUAUGCUGUUAUAUUAAUUAAAUUCUCUAUUGUAUGUAUUCCAAAUAUAAAAUAUACCUAACAAA